UAGUGCUGCAAUGUAAACAUUGCACUUUCUCUAAAACUGCAAUGUUUUACAUUGCAGCACUA
Molecule: microRNA precursor, 62 nt
Filed under: Pelobates cultripes (western spadefoot toad)
Lineage: Eukaryota; Metazoa; Chordata; Amphibia; Anura; Pelobatidae
Source: RNAcentral